RNAcentral lists this ribosomal RNA (1332 nucleotides) under Microbacterium sp. HW04-03. RNAcentral describes it as "bacterial SSU rRNA". It matches the Rfam family "Bacterial small subunit ribosomal RNA", at positions 96 to 1440 of the family's 1533-position model. Lineage: Bacteria; Bacillati; Actinomycetota; Actinomycetes; Micrococcales; Microbacteriaceae. The record is from RNAcentral.
UGGCGAACGGGUGAGUAACACGUGAGCAACCUGCCCCUGACUCUGGGAUAAGCGCUGGAAACGGCGUCUAAUACUGGAUAUGUGACGUGACCGCAUGGUCUGCGUCUGGAAAGAAUUUCGGUUGGGGAUGGGCUCGCGGCCUAUCAGCUUGUUGGUGAGGUAAUGGCUCACCAAGGCGUCGACGGGUAGCCGGCCUGAGAGGGUGACCGGCCACACUGGGACUGAGACACGGCCCAGACUCCUACGGGAGGCAGCAGUGGGGAAUAUUGCACAAUGGGCGGAAGCCUGAUGCAGCAACGCCGCGUGAGGGAUGACGGCCUUCGGGUUGUAAACCUCUUUUAGCAGGGAAGAAGCGAAAGUGACGGUACCUGCAGAAAAAGCGCCGGCUAACUACGUGCCAGCAGCCGCGGUAAUACGUAGGGCGCAAGCGUUAUCCGGAAUUAUUGGGCGUAAAGAGCUCGUAGGCGGUUUGUCGCGUCUGCUGUGAAAUCCGGAGGCUCAACCUCCGGCCUGCAGUGGGUACGGGCAGACUAGAGUGCGGUAGGGGAGAUUGGAAUUCCUGGUGUAGCGGUGGAAUGCGCAGAUAUCAGGAGGAACACCGAUGGCGAAGGCAGAUCUCUGGGCCGUAACUGACGCUGAGGAGCGAAAGGGUGGGGAGCAAACAGGCUUAGAUACCCUGGUAGUCCACCCCGUAAACGUUGGGAACUAGUUGUGGGGUCCAUUCCACGGAUUCCGUGACGCAGCUAACGCAUUAAGUUCCCCGCCUGGGGAGUACGGCCGCAAGGCUAAAACUCAAAGGAAUUGACGGGGACCCGCACAAGCGGCGGAGCAUGCGGAUUAAUUCGAUGCAACGCGAAGAACCUUACCAAGGCUUGACAUAUACGAGAACGGGCCAGAAAUGGUCAACUCUUUGGACACUCGUAAACAGGUGGUGCAUGGUUGUCGUCAGCUCGUGUCGUGAGAUGUUGGGUUAAGUCCCGCAACGAGCGCAACCCUCGUUCUAUGUUGCCAGCACGUAAUGGUGGGAACUCAUGGGAUACUGCCGGGGUCAACUCGGAGGAAGGUGGGGAUGACGUCAAAUCAUCAUGCCCCUUAUGUCUUGGGCUUCACGCAUGCUACAAUGGCCGGUACAAAGGGCUGCAAUACCGCGAGGUGGAGCGAAUCCCAAAAAGCCGGUCCCAGUUCGGAUUGAGGUCUGCAACUCGACCUCAUGAAGUCGGAGUCGCUAGUAAUCGCAGAUCAGCAACGCUGCGGUGAAUACGUUCCCGGGUCUUGUACACACCGCCCGUCAAGUCAUGAAAGUCGGUAACACCUGAAGCCGGUGGCCUAACC